UGAGAACUUGAAUGGAAGUCAACGGGGCCACGAGCUGCACAUAAAAGGGGGGUCGCGGAGCAGGCGUCCAACACACAAGGUCAAAGGACCCUGAAGCAUGAAGACUCUGCUGCCUCUCCUCCUCCUGGUGUGCUGCCGGUGCCUCAUCAUCACCAGCGGACUGGUCGCACCGUCGCAGCCGAGAGAAGGAUGCUGCAAGCGCCACAGCCAGAGAAAGAUCCACAUAAACAGGGUGACCGACAUGAGGGGGUCCGGGAGUGGCUGUAGACCCAAAUCCGUGAUAAUCACAACUGUAUUCAAGGAGUUGUGUUUUGAUCCUGAGUUGGACUGGGUGAAGACACUGUGGGCAAGCUUAAGGAAGCCACCUGGCACUUUACAGAAGCUGUGAGAACGCUGUUCCUUUGUGUGUCACCGUGACAUUCAGAUCAGAAGACGGAUGCCCUUGAAUGACCUUGUGACCCUGGAAGGUUUAAUGUGAAAUGGCUUGAGCUUUCAAAUGUCUUGUAUAAUACAUCACAUGUUUAGCGUUGCCACAUGAAUGAGCCAAAUAUAUGCGGUCUCAUUUUAAUAUUAAUAACAGGAAGGUGUAUUAUUGCAACAAAAGGCUCAGACCCUUUCUGAAUAAAAGCUUUAUUGUGGUAUUAAA
Long non-coding RNA from Cyclopterus lumpus (lumpfish), 646 nucleotides. RefSeq lists it as uncharacterized. The record is from RefSeq and is a predicted model, not a curated record. NCBI's taxonomy places the organism in Eukaryota, Metazoa, Chordata, Actinopteri, Perciformes, Cyclopteridae. The transcript is spliced from 3 exons.